RNAcentral lists this ribosomal RNA (847 nucleotides) under uncultured bacterium. RNAcentral's name for it is "bacterial SSU rRNA". It matches the Rfam family "Bacterial small subunit ribosomal RNA", at positions 1 to 852 of the family's 1533-position model. The record is from RNAcentral.
UAGAGUUUGAUCAUGGCUCAGGAUGAUCGCUGGCGGCGUGCCUAACACACGCAAGUCGAACGGAAACAUCCCGUCGAUGCGAUUUCGGUCAAGUCAAGGGAUGUUUUAGUGGCGGACGGGUGAGUAACGCGUGGGCAACCUGCCUUACACCGGGGGAUAACACUUAGAAAUAGGUGCUAAUACCGCAUAACAGGAGAACAUGCAUGUGUUUUCCUUGAAAACCACGGUGGUGUAAGAUGGACCCGCGUCUGAUUAGCUUGUUGGCAGGGUAACGGCCUACCAAGGCGACGAUCAGUAGCCGGCCUGAGAGGGUGGACGGCCACAUUGGGACUGAGACACGGCCCAGACUCCUACGGGAGGCAGCAGUGGGGAAUAUUGCACAAUGGGGGAAACCCUGAUGCAGCGACGCCGCGUGAGUGAAGAAGUAUUUCGGUAUGUAAAGCUCUGUCAGCAGGGAAGAAAAUGACGGUACCUGACCAAGAAGCCCCGGCUAACUACGUGCCAGCAGCCGCGGUAAUACGUAGGGGGCAAGCGUUAUCCGGAUUUACUGGGUGUAAAGGGAGCGCAGACGGCAGUGCAAGUCCGGAGUGAAAGCCCGGGGCCCAACCCCGGGACUGCUCUGGGAACUGUACGGCUGGAGUGCCGGAGAGGUAAGCGGAAUUCCUAGUGUAGCGGUGAAAUGCGUAGAUAUUANGAGGAACACCAGUGGCGAAGGCGGCUUGCUGGACAUUAACUGCCGCUGAGGCGCGAAAGCGUGGGGAGCAAACAGGAUUACAUACCCUGGUAAUCCCCCCCCUAAACGAUGGAUACUACGGGUGGGGGGGCAUCCAACCUUCUCAGCCACACA